RNAcentral lists this small nuclear RNA (258 nucleotides) under Erinaceus europaeus (western European hedgehog). Its description in RNAcentral is "7SK RNA". It matches the Rfam family "7SK RNA". From Rfam's summary of the family: 7SK was discovered as an abundant small nuclear RNA in the mid-70s but a possible function has only recently been suggested. Two independent studies have found that 7SK RNA binds the CDK9/cyclin T complex (known as elongation factor P-TEFb). Lineage: Eukaryota; Metazoa; Chordata; Mammalia; Eulipotyphla; Erinaceidae. The record is from Rfam by way of RNAcentral.
AGAUGUGAGGGCAACCUGGCUGAGACAUCUGUCACCCCACUGAUGUCCCCUUCCUCCCUCACGGUUCAUGCGCGUCCCUCCCAGAGCUGUGUGCUCAGUUGAAAAGGACAGCUUUCCCCGAAUAGAGACGGACCAGUCUCUGGCCAAAAGUACACGAGUAGCUGUGCUCCCCUGCUAGAACCUCCAAACAAGCUCUCAAGGGCCAAAGUAGAUCUGAGAGACCUAGCUCCUCACCCAUUCUCACUUUGGCCAAUUUGA